Molecule: ribosomal RNA, 253 nt
Filed under: uncultured bacterium
Lineage: Bacteria
Description: partial 16S ribosomal RNA
Rfam family: Bacterial small subunit ribosomal RNA
Source: RNAcentral
UACGGAGGGUGCGAGCGUUGUCCGGAAUCACUGGGCGUAAAGGGCGCGUAGGCGGCCUGAUAAGUAGGGGGUGAAAUCCUGCGGCUUAACCGCAGGGCUGCCUUCUAAACUGUCAGGCUAGAGCACGGUAGAGGCAGAUGGAAUUCCCGGUGUAGCGGUGGAAUGCGUAGAGAUCGGGAGGAAGGCCGGUGGCGAAGGCGGCGCUCUGGAACAUUUCUGACGCUGAGGCUCGAAAGCGUGGGGAGCAAACAGG